CCUACGGGAGGCAGCAGUGGGGAAUUUUGGACAAUGGGCGAAAGCCUGAUCCAGCCAUUCCGCGUGCAGGACGAAGGCCUUCGGGUUGUAAACUGCUUUUGUACGGAACGAAAAAGCCUUGGCCAAUACCCAAGGUCCAUGACGGUACCGUAAGAAUAAGCACCGGCUAACUACGUGCCAGCAGCCGCGGUAAUACGUAGGGUGCGAGCGUUAAUCGGAAUUACUGGGCGUAAAGCGUGCGCAGGCGGUUAUAUAAGACAGAUGUGAAAUCCCCGGGCUCAACCUGGGAACUGCAUUUGUGACUGUAUAGCUGGAGUGCGGCAGAGGGGGAUGGAAUUCCGCGUGUACG
RNAcentral lists this ribosomal RNA (349 nucleotides) under uncultured bacterium. Its description in RNAcentral is "bacterial SSU rRNA". It matches the Rfam family "Bacterial small subunit ribosomal RNA", at positions 338 to 679 of the family's 1533-position model. The record is from RNAcentral.